UGAACGCUGGCGGCAUGCUUUACACAUGCAAGUCGAACGGCAGCGGGGUAGUGCUUGCACUCCUGCCGGCGAGUGGCGAACGGGUGAGUAAUAUAUCGGAACGUACCGAGUAAUGGGGGAUAACCAAUCGAAAGAUUGGCUAAUACCGCAUACGUCCUGAGGGAGAAAGCGGGGGAUCGCAAGACCUCGCGUUAUUCGAGCGGCCGAUAACUGAUUAGCUAGUUGGUGGGGUAAAGGCCUACCAAGGCGACGAUCAGUAGCGGGUCUGAGAGGACGAUCCGCCACACUGGGACUGAGACACGGCCCAGACUCCUACGGGAGGCAGCAGUGGGGAAUUUUGGACAAUGGGGGCAACCCUGAUCCAGCCAUGCCGCGUGUAUGAAGAAGGCCUUCGGGUUGUAAAGUACUUUUGUUAGGGAAGAAAAGGGAAGUGCUAAUACCACUUUUUGCUGACGGUACCUAAAGAAUAAGCACCGGCUAACUACGUG
This 488-nucleotide ribosomal RNA is filed under the name uncultured bacterium. Its description in RNAcentral is "partial 16S ribosomal RNA". It matches the Rfam family "Bacterial small subunit ribosomal RNA", at positions 30 to 507 of the family's 1533-position model. The record is from RNAcentral.